UACAGAGGUCUCAAGCGUUGUUCGGAUUCAUUGGGCGUAAAGGGUGCGUAGGCGGCGCGGUAAGUCGGGUGUGAAAUCUCGGAGCUUAACUCCGAAACUGCAUUCGAUACUGCCGUGCUUGAGGACUGGAGAGGAGACUGGAAUUUACGGUGUAGCGGUGAAAUGCGCAGAUAUCAGGAGGAACACCUAUUGCGAAGGCAGCUCGCUGGGACGUUACUGACGCUGAGACGCGAAAGCGUGGGGAGCAAACAGG
This 253-nucleotide ribosomal RNA is filed under the name uncultured bacterium. RNAcentral describes it as "partial 16S ribosomal RNA". It matches the Rfam family "Bacterial small subunit ribosomal RNA", at positions 524 to 776 of the family's 1533-position model. The record is from RNAcentral.